This is a long non-coding RNA of Sinocyclocheilus anshuiensis, 402 nucleotides long. RefSeq lists it as uncharacterized. The transcript is spliced from 3 exons. Lineage: Eukaryota; Metazoa; Chordata; Actinopteri; Cypriniformes; Cyprinidae. The record is from RefSeq and is a predicted model, not a curated record.
CGGUAGGAGUGAAUUUAUUAUUCCAUGUACAUUUGAGGUUAAUGUGUGUACUGGGCUACUUUUUAGUUACAGCAGCUAUCACUGUGUUGUUAUGAAGUCAGUUGUGCCAGACAAUUUUGGAGGCAGAGACAGGUUGUGGGGGGCACUAAUAGGGAAAAACUUAAACUGUUGGAAUAAAGAGUUUUAAAGGGUUAGUGAUGGAAAACUUGCAGGUCAAUGGGCAUCAAUGUUUAAGGUUGGUAAACACUUGUACACGGACGCAUAUAAUACUACCCGCCUGACAUUGGCAUGUGUUAUUCAGGUGUCAAAGUUGUGCAGAGUUGAAGGAAGAAACCUCAAAGACAGUGCCAGAAGGAUGCUGGACAGGGUUUUAAAAAAAUUCCCUCAUGUCCAAAUUCAACA